UAUAGUAUAAAUUGGUAAGUAAAAAAAACACUCUUUUUUAAUCGUCAAAUGGAACAUACAUAAUACGGUCACUAAACCCAAACAUCAACCCCCACCUUCCAAAUACUAAACCCUAAAUCUUAAUCAUUAAACCUAAACCCAAGUAUAAACUCUAAACCCAAAUAGUAUAGAACAAAAUAAAUAGUAUAGUACAUAUAGUUGUAAACAAGAAAUUGAUAAAUAAUGAAUUUAUCAAACAAUCGAUGGUACAAUAAUACAACAACCGUAGCAUACUAUUUAGUUUGGUACUUGCGAAUUGUACAAAAAUAUAAGAAUCGUACUAUACUAUAAUUUUCUUUCACUACAUAUAGUAUAGUCGACGAGUUCAUCUUCUUCACAUCUUCCUCUUUUUACAGACAUGGUGAUACACACAUUCACUAGUCCAGAGUAAUUAUUCUUCAUCAUACCAUAUCAAUACAACAUACUAUAACAAUUUAAAUAACAAUGAAAAAAAUCAAGAUGAACAACAUUGAAAAAAACUAAAAAAGAAAAGAAAUUGUGAUGUCACCUCGUUGUUGUCUACGGUGCCAUCUUCUCCUCCAAACUCAAUUCCACAAGCCCAAAAUCCAUAUUAUUUCUUAGUCUAGUGGUUUGUGUUCGUAUGUAUUAAAAA
This 652-nucleotide long non-coding RNA is filed under the name Brassica rapa (field mustard). RNAcentral describes it as "long non-coding RNA (BRAP_LNC002946)". Lineage: Eukaryota; Viridiplantae; Streptophyta; Magnoliopsida; Brassicales; Brassicaceae. The record is from RNAcentral.